UACGUAGGGUGCGAGCGUUAAUCGGAAUUACUGGGCGUAAAGCGUGCGCAGGCGGUUUUGUAAGCCAGAUGUGAAAUCCCCGGGCUUAACCUGGGAAUGGCAUUUGGGACUGCAAGGCUUGAAUGUGGAAGAGGGCAGUAGAAUUCCUGGUGUAGUGGUGAAAUACGUAGAUAUCAGGAGGAAUACCGGUGGCGAAGGCGGCUGCCUGGUCCUACAUUGACGCUGAGAUACGAAAGCGUGGGGAGCAAACAGG
This 253-nucleotide ribosomal RNA is filed under the name uncultured bacterium. Its description in RNAcentral is "partial 16S ribosomal RNA". It matches the Rfam family "Bacterial small subunit ribosomal RNA", at positions 524 to 776 of the family's 1533-position model. The record is from RNAcentral.